RNAcentral lists this long non-coding RNA (580 nucleotides) under Fukomys damarensis (Damara mole-rat). Its description in RNAcentral is "lncRNA (ENSFDAG00000027478.1)". The record is from RNAcentral. Lineage: Eukaryota; Metazoa; Chordata; Mammalia; Rodentia; Bathyergidae.
CCCACCUCCCCCCCGGCCCCUUCCAAGCUCUCUGAUUGGCCAAUGGGACAAAAGUUUCUGUGGAGACGGCUGGGCGCUGACGUCACGGGCAGAAUUGUCCCAUUUAGGGAUCCCGGGGGCAGUGCGCAUGCUGCAGGCUGCAGGUUAGAGGCAGGAGGAGGUAGCAGCGGGCCGGGCGGCAGCCAGGUGGCAGAAAGGAGCAGGCACCAUCCAGAUUUGCCCGUAACUUUAUCACAAUGAAGAGGGCACACAAUGUGUCCCUACUGCAGUAUAUACAGAGUUGGUAAAUUAAGGACAAGAAGGGAAGAGAAAGACAAAGAAGAAAGGAAAAGCAAGCAGAUACAGUCCUGGUCCAGCCCUGCUGACUUCUGCUAGUGGUGUUAGGAUGAAGUUGUCUCCACUUAAGGAAAUGCUAGGGAUGUACUGCAUGUACAUGUGUACUAUAUUUAUAACGAUGCUUGUCACCCUAAUGUAUGGAAGUUAGAACACCCUCCACAUAAAGAGCUGGCAAAAUGCAAACAAAUAUGUCACAGCCCUCACUUGUAUUAACUAGACUUGAUAUAGAAGCCAAAAACCCCAC